RNAcentral lists this ribosomal RNA (725 nucleotides) under Enterococcus sp. baku-19. Its description in RNAcentral is "bacterial SSU rRNA". It matches the Rfam family "Bacterial small subunit ribosomal RNA", at positions 64 to 760 of the family's 1533-position model. Lineage: Bacteria; Bacillati; Bacillota; Bacilli; Lactobacillales; Enterococcaceae. The record is from RNAcentral.
GAACGCUUCUUUUUCCACCGGAGCUUGCUCCACCGGAAAAAGAGGAGUGGCGAACGGGUGAGUAACACGUGGGUAACCUGCCCAUCAGAAGGGGAUAACACUUGGAAACAGGUGCUAAUACCGUAUAACAAUCGAAACCGCAUGGUUUUGAUUUGAAAGGCGCUUUCGGGUGUCGCUGAUGGAUGGACCCGCGGUGCAUUAGCUAGUUGGUGAGGUAACGGCUCACCAAGGCCACGAUGCAUAGCCGACCUGAGAGGGUGAUCGGCCACAUUGGGACUGAGACACGGCCCAAACUCCUACGGGAGGCAGCAGUAGGGAAUCUUCGGCAAUGGACGAAAGUCUGACCGAGCAACGCCGCGUGAGUGAAGAAGGUUUUCGGAUCGUAAAACUCUGUUGUUAGAGAAGAACAAGGAUGAGAGUAACUGUUCAUCCCUUGACGGUAUCUAACCAGAAAGCCACGGCUAACUACGUGCCAGCAGCCGCGGUAAUACGUAGGUGGCAAGCGUUGUCCGGAUUUAUUGGGCGUAAAGCGAGCGCAGGCGGUUUCUUAAGUCUGAUGUGAAAGCCCCCGGCUCAACCGGGGAGGGUCAUUGGAAACUGGGAGACUUGAGUGCAGAAGAGGAGAGUGGAAUUCCAUGUGUAGCGGUGAAAUGCGUAGAUAUAUGGAGGAACACCAGUGGCGAAGGCGGCUCUCUGGUCUGUAACUGACGCUGAGGCUCGAAAGC